AUGCUUAUAUAUUGUGAUGUGUGUGGGGUUGAUACCAUACAGCGAUGCAUUAGGUGGCACUAUCGGAUCGUUAAAUCCAGUUUGUUCAAUUUAGCAGCUCUUGAUGUGUUGCAGGAAAUAAAGCCUAAGCAUCCGAAAUUGGACGGUGAGAUGUUUUGUGCAGUAUCUCUAACGCAGGCUCCUCCAAGAAAACCGGCUUUGCCUGUAAUUCCUGCAGCGUGCAGUACGGAAAACAGCCACUGGAUGGAGCGUUUGAUCAAAGAGCCAGGAACACACAGUAUUUCGAGUAGCAGUAAGAGUACAGGAGGGGCUGGCAUUGAAGUAACAGAGAAGUCAAUUGGCAAUAAGCAAAUUCCAGGCCUACCAGAAUUACCAACCAGAAAAUCUUUAGGAACACCUGUAAACUCAGCCUUUGAAUCCACGCCCCCAAAAGUCAGCAAAAUUAUACCAAUUUUCAAAGGAAAGUUGAUGCAAAUGAAUGGAAAGAUCACAAAUCAAACAGAGAGGAAGAAAAAGGAAAAUGCUGAAAGGCAUUCACCAAUAAAAAGUGUGGGUAUUUCAUCUUCUAUGCUGUCUGUGCACAAAUCCAGCAUAACUCACGUUUUCAAACAUGUUCAAAAUAUGUCAGUCAAAACUCCCACUGACAGCAGUGUGCUCCAGGUAAAGAAUAUGAAGACACACACAAAACAUGGUACACCCAUAUUCCGAUGGAAAACCCAGUCUAGUGAACAAAUUUCUAACUCUGAUUUUUCUGAAAACUCAACUUCAGGUGGGAAUCCGAGUGAAGUCAAUCAUAAAAAGGCAAAUUCCCCAUUCUUUCUCAAGAAUGUUGGGCCAGUGCUUCAGAAAUCAAACACCAGCCUGUGUCUGAAUACACAUGACUCUCCUAUUUCUGGUGCAAGAAGGGGGAAAAAGUUUGCAAGUCAAAAUACUACUGAAUUUAUUGAGAAACACCACCAGUCAAAGGAAGUGCAUUUGCAGAUUUGUAAAUUAGGCAAUGAAAUGACAAAUUCCAGUUUGUCGCUGCAACAAAGAAAGAGAUCAAGUAAAGGAGCUGGGUUAAAUAUUCAUGAAUCUGUCUUCAAAGUUACAGUGUGCAUGGCCAAAAGUGAAGGGAACAAAGCAGCUUGCCACUCUAAGGACUGUACUGCUGAGACAACCAGUCAUCAUUCCAAACCUAAUUUUGAACAGAUGAUGACAGGGAACAAGUAUCUGACAUGUGAAACAUUGACCUCGAAACCAACUUUGCCAGUCAAGGAGAGCAACAUGGAAGCAUCUGUAAAGAAAGGUCCUGCCGGAAAAAGACAGAAAGAAGAAGGUUAUUCGAAGUUAAAGAGAGCCAAAAGAAGUAAAACUUCUACUUAAGGUGUUCUGGAGCAUUGAAAGAAAACUCUGGGUAUGUUUAUUACAAAUCUAAAGUAUUUUCUUUUAUUAAAAUAAUAUCACAUGUCUGUAAUAGGUCCUACACUUUUGGAUCAGCUGUCUACAAAGGAGUCACUUCACUAAAGAAAUGGCUUCUAGACCAAACUGAUGAGGCAACAGAUGCAAAGGACACUAUCAAAUAAAGCAUUUGUUUUGCGAAACAAGCCAUGUUUUAAAAAAGGCAUUUUGUACUUACUAGAACUUAGAGUUUGACAUAAAUUUUUACUUUGAUGCCUCUUUUUUUUCAGACUAAAAUAAGCCUGAUUUUUGGGCUUCAAGGUUUCUCUUGAAUCUGAGCUGAAAUUAAAACCAAAAUCCAUCAAAGUGGAGCUGUGUAUGUUAUUUGAUGUUAUUACAAGAGAUGUGGCUAAAUGCUCUUGUGUUGAGAUCUAAUCACAGGACAAAAUUGUCAUGAAAAUCUGGCAUGAAAACUGAAUACAUGUAGUUUUGUGACAAGAUAUUUCAACCCACAUUGUGGGUGGUUGUCGAUAAUAGUCUUGCAGGAUAAAACAAGCUUGUCCUUUGAACAUUCUUUUGAAUAUCAAGAAUACAGCAUUAGGAUAUAGUAUGUGCAUUUUGUCUCAGAGAUGCACUUUAUGUCCUUCCUUUGCUUAUGGGAUAUAUUUCCUCCAGUGAACAAAUAUAUCAAUUUUCUGCUUUUCCUAAAGAAAGUUUCGGAUAUGGAUGGAAGCUUUCUAUCUCUGGCCUUCACACUUUAGUAUUCAGUAUAUUCUGUCCCUAAGUUUAGCAUUUCAUCUCUCCUGCUUCAAGCCCGGCAGUUCAGGCAUGGUUCUUCUUCAGAGGUGAUCUGUUCUAGUGAUCAGCACAGAUAUCCACAGGUGCAAAGUCUGUGGCUUUCACUGAGGACUGAUGAGCAGAAGUGGUGUCUUUGCGAAUGGUCAGAACUUUACUUUUUUUUACUCUGAUUUUUUUCUUAUUUAUGAGUUAAAUGCCACACCAUCAAGUUGAUCAUGGUAGACAAGACUUAAACCCCAGAGAGAAGACAGUGUCUUCCAUACGGUGUUUAAAAUAUGAUGUCCAGGAAUCCCACUGCUAAGGGUCCUUCAUUGGUGUUGAUGAUUUAAAAAGAAAACUGGAGCAAAAACAACUUCUGCUGUUGGAUUCUUGCCUACAGUUUUGAUUCUGAAAAGCUGGGCUCUAAAUUCCUUUAUUAUGUAUUACUACACAUGCAUUCAGAGUGCAUAUUUUCAUUUGAACACUUGGGAAUCACUUGUGAUUUUUCAAAUUUACUGGGUUGCAAGAUUUAUGUGUGAGAAGUCCUUAUACUGGAAUUUAGUGAUGUAGUUAGCAGGAAGGACUUUGUUCUAUAAUUCAUGACAAAAAAAAAACCCACCAAAACAUUUUUUACAAUUAUUUUGAAAAAAGGGUUAGUUUUUAUGACUUAUGUACCAAAUUGCAUGGCCUCUUGACUUGCCCAGGAAAUCACAGCAUAAUCCUAAUAUUUUCUUCAUUUCAUUGGAGUGUGUUAAUAAAGUAACGUGAGAGAAGUAUUUAACAUUUUAAGAAGCUGAACAUUUGAGUCUAACACUGAGAGUCUCCAUGCUUAGUUCUUUAUUAAUGGAACUCACUCUAUCAUUUUCAAGGUCAAAAACUACUGUGAAAGGGAAAUUUGUUUUCUAAGACAUAUCAGAAGAGCAGAGCUUCCAAAAGACAGCAUACACCACUGUAGAAAGAUGCUUUGAAAGAAGUAUUUACAGCAUUGCAAAUAUUGGUGGAAGACUGACAUAUUAAAAAUGGCAGCCCAGAAGCUUCCAAGAUUUGCCACUGAUCUGCAAAACUCUUGCUGUUGUUCUGUUCCUGUGUUAUAGUGAGAUGCUGACCUUUGGUUUCACUUGCCAAAUUUCAUUUAGCAAAUGAGAAGAUACAAAUUCAUCAGAGACGAUAACAAUAGCAAGGUUUCACCUGAAAGUAUUUGCUGCUAUUACUGUAAGGAUAUUGUGUGAAUAUAAGAGUAAGGUAGGAGGUCCACACAAUUGGAAUUAUAUAAAAAAUUCUCAGCAGUUUUGGGCUGAGAUCUAUUGGACUUCCUUCUAAAAGGUGCAUACCUCACACCAACAUUGAGGAAUUUAUCUUAUAAUUUGAAGGCUAUUUUACAGAAGUUUCAACAAAGCCCUUUCAAAUUAUUUCUUCAUGUUAAAUAGUAGGCUAAAAUAAUAUCUUUUUUAUGCAGUGAAAAAAUUUUAUUUCAUUAAAAGAAAAGAUUCUGAUAAUGUUCAAUCUUUCAACGAAAAAGCAAUUUCUUUUAUGAUGGGGGAAGAUAUCCUAAUCAAAUCUAGUAGCAGAAAUAACCUUUGGACUGUGUACAUGAGUAGGUUGUUGGUACCUAAGUAAUUAAGACAUACCCCAAAAAAGAGUUGCUAUUGUAAUAUUUUUUCUGUUAUCCUAUCCAUUUUCUGUAACUAUGGGGGAUUGUUUCAGGCUAGGACUUAACUUACUGCACAGUUGACCAUUUAUAAAUAAUAAAGAAUGGUAUCUUAAGAUUCCACCUCUUACUUUCCUGUAGAGUUAAGAAUGUGGUUUGGCUGCCUGACCUCAGCCAAAUGUUAAGAAGGUGUGAAUAGACUUCUGCAAUAGAAGUUCCUUCUUCCAACACCACAACUGACUUUUGAGGGCUUUAAAUUUAAAAAGCACAGAUUAUAAAAGGAUAAAUCUGUGCAUAAUACAACAUAUUUAUGAUGGAGAGAAUUCUUCCUUGUUCAGUAUAAAAAUGUAGACAUUUAAUUUGAAUACCCUGAACCCAAAAUUUGUAAAUAGAAUGCAAAUACACAUGUGGGAAUACAGCAAUAUUUUUUCCUUCAUAUUAGCCAUAGAGUUCCCAGUUGUCUUUUGUUUUCUUCUAUGAUGUAAUUUUUUUCUAUGUUUUCCUCCAGGUUCCCAAGAGGGCAGUAACAUACUUAAGAAUCUCUGAACUUUGUGUAUUUUGCUGUUUGUCAUUGGUAGCUGUUUCUGGAUGAAAAUUUGAGGGUUAAAUACAGUCAAGUGAAUCCAUGUAUCAUCAAUUUCUUCAUACAGUUCAGGUUAAUAAGCCUCUAAUGCAUUUGAAAAUUUAACUAAAUUGUUUAGUUUUUUAAUCACAUUAUGUAUGUCCUGCUAUUGCUUACACACUUAACCAUUCUUCCAAAUUAUCUUGCUGCUUCUAGUUGGGUUUUUAAAGAUAAAAUAUUUAAUUCUUUGUUACAGUGUCUGGGUCAGUUUGAUUCACCUGUAAAAAAUUUCCAAAUAAGUUUUCCUUGUCAAGUCAAAUGAUUGGACUAUAAACAAUUUUAUUCCUACAUGAAUAAUUUAUAGGCUGGACUUGACUCAAGCUUUAUUAGUUCUUGUUGUAACUUUUCAUGACUUUUCAGAUAUGAAACCGCUCUGUAAAAGAUUUUUUUAAGUUUAAUUGGCAACCCCAUUCUUCAGGAGUUCAUAGACAACCUGUAGUUGCUCUUCGAGUAAUUUUGUUGCCCUAAGUGUGACUUCAUUGACCUACUUCAACAUGCAGAUACAAAAAUAUACACAUUUAUAAGAUUGUUGCCUCCUAAUCACUGCUUUGAAGUGAAUAUUAUUGUGUUAUGUGGAAAAUAAGAAUCAAAUGUCACACUAGCUCUUAAAUUCAAACAUUAUGGAAUGGUGGUUUAACACUUGUUUUGGACAUACAUUUUCAAAUCUUUUUUUCUAAAGGGAUCAAUUCAAUGGGACUUUAUGCCCUUCAUGAAACUUUUUUGUUUUUUUUUUUUAAGGUUUAUAUUGCAGUAGCUGUAUUUCUAUUCACUUAUUUUUCCAAACUGGAUUUUGUCCUGCUACUAUAACAACUUUUGUUUUGUUUGGUUUGGUUUAGUUUAGUUUUGUUUUUUCUUGAAUGGUUACUGUCAACAUAGCUCUAAUUUCAGGGUGCCAAUCUUUAAAAGAGGGUUCUUCAGCAUGACAUUUUGUCAUACAUAACUUUAAAAACAACAACAACAACAAACCAACAAGCGAAGACAAAUAAUAAAAGAAGUUAAUGCAAUAUGACCAGCAAGAAGUCAAAUUAUAGUUGCAUAUUGUCUGGAAGCUGGUAUACAAGGCUACUUUUCAAAUGCUGUGGUUUAGUUACCUUUCAUAGGUUUCAAUGUAUGCGACUGAUCUUUCUCCUCUCUUACAUGAAAAAGCCUGUAGAGUAGAAAUUAGCAAAGCUAUGUAAAUUAGUGCUUUGCCCGAUCUGUUUCGUAUUGCUGCUUUUAAAAUACUGCUGGUUGCCAGCAUUUGUCUUGUGUUAUCACAGAAGUAAUUUUGCACUAUUUAUGUGUUUUUGAAUGUUUACAUCAUUUUGUGUUAUUUGUUCUAAAACUUAAAAUAAAGAAAAACUUAUUUAUCUCAGCUCUAAUGUGUUCCAUUUAAAUAAACUACUGAGUUACUCAUAUGUGCUAAAUUGCCAGCUACUUCCUGGUCUAAAUCCUGUUACUCCAUCCCACCCACCCACUUCUUGUAAAUGCAUGGGAAGGUGUUGAUAGUGAGCAGAACCGUGCUGGGUGCAACAGU
This is a long non-coding RNA of Ficedula albicollis (Collared flycatcher), 5943 nucleotides long. The record is from Ensembl. Lineage: Eukaryota; Metazoa; Chordata; Aves; Passeriformes; Muscicapidae.